This 508-nucleotide ribosomal RNA is filed under the name Limosilactobacillus fermentum. Its description in RNAcentral is "bacterial SSU rRNA". It matches the Rfam family "Bacterial small subunit ribosomal RNA", at positions 50 to 516 of the family's 1533-position model. Lineage: Bacteria; Bacillati; Bacillota; Bacilli; Lactobacillales; Lactobacillaceae. The record is from RNAcentral.
UANACNUGCAGUCGACGCGUUGGCCCAAUUGAUUGAUGGUGCUUGCACCUGAUUGAUUUUGGUCGCCAACGAGUGGCGGACGGGUGAGUAACACGUAGGUAACCUGCCCAGAAGCGGGGGACAACAUUUGGAAACAGAUGCUAAUACCGCAUAACAACGUUGUUCGCAUGAACAACGCUUAAAAGAUGGCUUCUCGCUAUCACUUCUGGAUGGACCUGCGGUGCAUUAGCUUGUUGGUGGGGUAACGGCCUACCAAGGCGAUGAUGCAUAGCCGAGUUGAGAGACUGAUCGGCCACAAUGGGACUGAGACACGGCCCAUACUCCUACGGGAGGCAGCAGUAGGGAAUCUUCCACAAUGGGCGCAAGCCUGAUGGAGCAACACCGCGUGAGUGAAGAAGGGUUUCGGCUCGUAAAGCUCUGUUGUUAAAGAAGAACACGUAUGAGAGUAACUGUUCAUACGUUGACGGUAUUUAACCAGAAAGUCACGGCUAACUACGUGCCAGCAGNC